Long non-coding RNA from Oryzias melastigma (Indian medaka), 1117 nucleotides. RefSeq lists it as uncharacterized. The record is from RefSeq and is a predicted model, not a curated record. The transcript is spliced from 3 exons. Lineage: Eukaryota; Metazoa; Chordata; Actinopteri; Beloniformes; Adrianichthyidae.
CAAAUUCACAGCACUUAACAUCCGGUAUACCCGCUAACAAAGGACCCAGACAUCGGAGAUCACGAAGGCCGCGGCCUUGGGAGGAUGCAGAACCUGAAUUUGGACACAGCCAAUGUAACCAGUCUAAAAAUGUGCCAAUGAUUGAAGACGGCAGCGAUUCGCUAAUUUUUUCUUCUCUGAAGUAGAGAUCUGUACUAAUUUAAAUUUUUAAUUCAUUUAUGUGUUUUUUACAAGGGCAGCAAUAUAUUGUAGUCUAUGGUGUUUUGAAGUCAUUAUCAAAUCCCAUUUCAGGGGCACUUCUAAGAUAUUUUGGAUCCUCUGCUACUGCUCAAGAUGAGACAUCCACUGCCCCAGCCACAGUCCCAACCCUUCAGGAUGAGCUGCCAUCUCCAUCCGCUGCUACGUCUGUAGUCCCACAGUUAUUAUCUGAACAAAGAUCUGACAGUGAGGAUGAAGAUGUUGUUCCAUCUACUUCCACCCAGCAUGAGACUUCAGAAAUCCCCUGUGAUGAACCCCCACUGAGUCUGACUGCUGAGGAUGAAUCAACUGACCCUGCAAACUGGCCUUCACCUCUGACUGACGGGAUUCGGAUGGAGCUGGUUCGAAGGGGACCAAGUAGCAUACCAACUGACUUUGUUUUCCCAAGGAAUGAGAGUGACGGGAGAAGUUGUCAUCACCACUAUUAUAGGAAGACUCUAACAUUGCGCCGGCCCACCUCCUCCCCUUCUCCCCCCGGCUUGACUGGCGCUGUCCUGUGUACCACCAUGGUUCCAAGUGUCCUGUGGCUCCGUUUCUUCCCGAAUCCCGUGUGGGGAUCUCUUCACUUGGUCAAAGAUCAUCAUAUCAAGCAGAUUUCUACAGCCCAGAGCCCAAUCGCCAAAAAGACUUAUUCAUGCAGCCUGUUAAAUCAUCACAAUUAAAAUUUUCUACGCAGUUCUGAGUUCUCUCCUUAUUGAAAUACAUCGUGGAUAAUGUAUCAUGAAGUGAUGUUUAGGUAAGAGGUUUCUUGAAGGAAAGAGACCCUUAAAAAGUUGAUGAUGCUCAACGAUUAAGUAUGUUAAAUAGCAGUUAAAUAACAGGAGGAUGGCACAAGCUGUGACAACCUGCAAUAUAUAAA